RNAcentral lists this ribosomal RNA (198 nucleotides) under uncultured bacterium. Its description in RNAcentral is "partial 16S ribosomal RNA". It matches the Rfam family "Bacterial small subunit ribosomal RNA", at positions 335 to 524 of the family's 1533-position model. The record is from RNAcentral.
ACUCCUACGGAAGGCAGCAGUGGGGAAUUUUGGACAAUGGGCGCAAGCCUGAUCCAGCCAUGCCGCGUGAGUGAAGAAGGCCUUCGGGUUGUAAAGCUCUUUCGGCCGGGAAGGAAAUCGUGGUCUCUAACAUAGGCCAUGGAUGACGGUACCGGACUAAGAAGCACCGGCUAACUACGUGCCAGCAGCCGCGGUAAU